CCUACGGGAGGCAGCAGUAAGGAAUAUUGGUCAAUGGACGCAAGUCUGAACCAGCCAUGCCGCGUGAAGGAUUAAGGCCCUCUGGGUUGUAAACUUCUUUUAUAGGGGACGAAAAAAGGGCAUUCUUGCUCACUUGACGGUACCCUAGGAAUAAGCACCGGCUAACUCCGUGCCAGCAGCCGCGGUAAUACGGAGGGUGCAAGCGUUAUCCGGAUUUACUGGGUUUAAAGGGUGCGUAGGUGGGUUGGUAAGUCAGUGGUGAAAUCCUCGAGCUUAACUCGGAAACUGCCAUUGAUACUAUCAAUCUUGAAUCAUCUAGAGGUAAGCGGAAUAUGUCAUGUAGCGGUGAAAUGCUUAGAUAUGACAUAGAACACCAAUUGCGAAGGCAGCUUACUAUGGAUGUAUUGACACUGAGGCACGAAAGCGUGGGGAUCAAACAGGAUUAGAUACCCUGGUAGUCCACGCCCUAAACGAUGGAUACUCGACAUUUGUGAUAUACUAUAAGUGUCUGAGNGAAGANAUAGUAUACCACCUCGGAGACGACGCGAGUAGUAACGUACAAGAGUAGUAGACGNGNGAGAGACGACGACGACGACGACGGAGGGAGGAGG
This 611-nucleotide ribosomal RNA is filed under the name uncultured bacterium. RNAcentral describes it as "bacterial SSU rRNA". The stretch from base 1 to 533 matches the Rfam family "Bacterial small subunit ribosomal RNA", at positions 338 to 873 of the family's 1533-position model. The record is from RNAcentral.